Long non-coding RNA from Larimichthys crocea (large yellow croaker), 1646 nucleotides. RefSeq lists it as uncharacterized. The record is from RefSeq and is a predicted model, not a curated record. Lineage: Eukaryota; Metazoa; Chordata; Actinopteri; Sciaenidae. The transcript is spliced from 2 exons.
GCUGAUGUUUGCCUAUGUGCUGAUGGUACAUCAGCACACAGGUAAGUAUGGUAAGGUAAGGUCAUGUAUGCUUAUGUCCAUAUGCAUUACUUUCUACACUAACCUGUGUUCUGUCUGUCUGUCUCUCUGCUCUCUGUGUUCUCUCUGCAGCACAUAGGCAAACAGGUAAGUAUGGUAAGGUAAGGUAAGGUCAUGUAUGGUAAUGUCCAUAUGCAUUGGAUACACUAACCUGUGUUCUGUCUGUCUGUCUCUCUGUGUUCUGUCUGUCUCUCUGCUCUCUCUGUCCUCUCUGCAGCGCCGUGAUGUGAAAUCAUACUUAUCAAGUGGAUUUUGACUGCGUCACAGACCUGAGUUGUCAUUUUGACACUCGGUUUGUGGAGUUUUUGACACAGAGAAUCUUCGUUGUGUGCUACAUCUGUGGAAAAAUGGCUCCGGUCUGAACUUUGUCACAGGACACAUGAGUUGUCAUCAUGACAUUGAUGAUGCAUCAUUUCUGCUCACAUCAUUACACAAAAAAAAGAAGAAAAGAAGUACCUUUAACAUUUUACUAAAAUACAUAAUGGGUGUGCAUCAAGGAUCAGUGUUAGGCCCUGUACUAUUUAAUCUAUAUGUUAAUGAGCUUCCACAGAAAGGGCAAAUGUAUGUCAACAACAUACUGUGGCAGCCCGGUGUACAACCAGCCAUGUUGCGUCGGCACAUAGGCAAACAGUUAAGUCCAAAUGUCCAUAUGCAUUAGUUUAGGGCCAUACACUAACCUGUGUUCUGUCGGUCUCUCUGCUCUCUGUGUCCUCUCUGCAGCACAUAGGCAAACAGAAAGGGCAAAUGUAUGUCUACGACACUGUUGUAUACAAACAUGCUAAACCAUAAAGCAGUCACAGCAAAUGUAAUGUGUCUGUCAGUGAGAUUAGUAUUUUGUGCUAAUAAUUUCCAUUAAAGAAUUAUUUCUUUCCAAUGAAGAUGUAGGUGGACUGUCAUUACAGCCAGAGUUUAAACUGGGACGGAGCCCUCCGGAGCUCAGCUCUGCCUCCUCACCUCGGCACUACAUCCAGCAGGAGCUGAGCUCCCUCUGCUUCGGAGUUUAUAAUAAUCAUGGGCGUAGCUACCAUUACAGGACUUUUUUAAAUCAUUAGUUUGGACCUCCCCUCUUUUGCCAUGUCAAAAAUCAGUAGGCUACAUCAGUCUGUUCACUCAUCGCUGUUUCCAGAGCGCUGUGUCAGAGCUUCAAUAUUGAAUCCGUUCCGCUUGUUUAUUGAUAUAAAACCUGAAUUCAGUCUAUUUUUUCACCUUAAUGUUUUUGUGACAAGGUCACAGAAACAUAAAAUGUCAGUUAUAAAAUCGUUCAGUUAACUAACUGUUAAGAAGCGCUAAACCCUGAGGUCAGUAGACCAUAUAGCAUGUACAGAGAAAGGAAAGGCAGAAGACAAGAGAUCUAAGUCCUAUUUGGAAAGUUGUGAAUUGAUUGUAAUGACUGGCAACUGCUGAUAUUUGGUUUGAUGUUGUGACAUGUAAGAAAGUUUAGCAAACAAUUGAUUUGAUUGAUGUAGAUUUAUGGUGUCAGAUGUAAUUAACUAUGUGAACUUAUGGUGUGAGAUGUAAAUAAGUAAUGCAAAUAACAGUGUAAAUUGAUGGGAUGUAAAAAAAAAAAA